Molecule: unclassified non-coding RNA, 199 nt
Filed under: soil metagenome
Description: partial internal transcribed spacer 1
Source: RNAcentral
CCGAGUUUACAACUCCCAAACCCAAUGUGAACGUCACCAAACUGUUGCCUCGGCGGGAUCUCUGCCCCGGGUGCGUCGCAGCCCCGGACCAAGGCGCCCGCCGGAGGACCAACCAAAACUCUUAUUGUAUACCCCCUCGCGGGUUUUUUACUAUCUGAGCCAUCUCGGCGCCCCUCGUGGGCGUUUCGAAAAUGAAUCA